GGAUUGGUGUUAGCUCGUCUCUAAAUGUUUGAUAGAAUUAUUAGCCCUUUUUAAAGUGGCUUUUGCAAACUGUUUUCAGACUGCAAAUGAGCCAGAAAGCCAAAGACACGACCAAGAACAUUUUCAAGCACUACAAUAGAGUAACUGAAGUCGUCUGACUGGACUGAAAGUAACACGAUAAACUGAAAAAUUGUCAACCGAUUACCCUCAAAAGGAGCCCGAAGUCCAGUGUUAGAAGCAGGUGGGAUUCCUGCAAUGAAGCUCUCUCACUGCAAGGUGUCAGCGGUACAGUGAAGGUGGUGUUGGCCACAUCCAGGAUAGCAUACCAAACGCCAUCAGUCUGGGCAGUGGAUUCAGUUACGGUCACAAUAUCUGGAAUGGCUUGGAUAUGGAAGCAACAACUGGAUUCAGUUGGUGAUAAUCCACUGUCUUAAGAUUGAGAGAAGCCACGCUCAAGAAGCUUCAUCUACCUGGAUCUGAUUUAGAUGAUGAAAUUCUGUACUUAAGCUUGAGCCCAAUGCAGUAAUGGCAUGAAACUAAGAAUUUUGGAAGCAGAGUAAGUGUAUUUUGCAUGUGGGAGAGAAAUUACUUGGAGCUAGAGAUGGUUAAUCUGUGGAUGACCCCCAAUGAACAACGCCUUCCAAAAUUCACGCUCUUAUGUAGUCCCCUCCCAUAUUGGGUCAGGGCUGAGCCUGGGACCUACUUUAACUAACAGAAUGGAGUGAAAGUGACCCUAUGCUAGUACAAAGCCUAAGUCUUAAGAGUAUCUGAAGCUUCUGUUUUUGUAUAUUGGAAGCCCUGAGCUGCCACAUAAAAAGUUCAGUUGCCCUGCUAGAAAGACCACAUAGAGAGACAAUAUGAAGAGGUUGCAUGGACAAGGGGAGGAAUAAUCCCUAAGAUUACAGAGAGAGAAACUGAGACAGAGAGAGAGAGAGAGAGAGAGAAGUUGAGAGAGAAGAAGAGAAACAGGCACAUCAAACCAGAUGUCCAUGCAUCACAGUUGAGCCCAGACCUACGGCUGUUUCCAUCAGGGUAUAAAACACAUAAGUGAGCCAUAAUGAGUGUUCCAGCCCAGUCAAGCUCCUAGAUGACUACAGGACCAGCCAACAUCAAGUGGAGCAAAACAACUACCUACCUAAGCGAAGUCAACCCAUAGAAUCUUGAGAAAUAAUAAAAUGGUUAUUUUAAGCCACUAAAUUUUGGAGUGGUUUGUUAUGGAGCAAUAAAUAAUUCACUUAUCAAAUGAAAACUGAAUAUUUUGGAAGUCAGAUUCAAUAAAGAAAUUAAAAGGCAAACCACAAAAACUAUGAAAAAGUAUGUGCCAUGAAUAUACAAGGUUAUUAUCUUUAUAAUAAAAAGAGCUCAUUAUAAAACCUAAACAACAUCACCAAAAACUCAACAGAAAAAAAUGGACAAUCUACUCAUCUACUCAUAGGGAAAAUCAAAAUGGCUAAUAAGCAUGAAAAUGUUUUAAUCAUUAUUUAAAAUAUCAUUAAUACUCAAAUAUCACUGGUCAGAAUAUAAAGUGGCACAAUCUUUCAGGAGAGCAAUUUGUCAACAUGCUAUUUCUAUAAAUAUAUGAGGAGAUAAUCACAGACACAAAUAAAUAGGUAAAAGAAUAUUAAUUUCAAGCUUAAUGUCCAAAAAUAUAGAAACUAUUUUAAAUUACUGAAUAUCAAUAUUUGAGGCUAUCCUGCACCUUGCAAAUUUUAAAGAAAAUUGAGGUAACAUGCUUAUAAUAUAAUAUCAAGUUUUAAAAAGCAUAAUAUAAAA
Non-coding RNA from Delphinapterus leucas (beluga whale), 1773 nucleotides. The record is from RefSeq and is a predicted model, not a curated record. NCBI's taxonomy places the organism in Eukaryota, Metazoa, Chordata, Mammalia, Artiodactyla, Monodontidae.